This 76-nucleotide non-coding RNA is filed under the name Oleidesulfovibrio alaskensis. Lineage: Bacteria; Pseudomonadati; Thermodesulfobacteriota; Desulfovibrionia; Desulfovibrionales; Desulfovibrionaceae. RNAcentral also lists the same sequence under 2 other names. The record is from RNAcentral.
AUGCGAAACCGUCCUCCGUGCGGGAGCGGAGGCGGUCGUCCGGCGGUGGCGCGUCGGACCUGAUGAGCAGCCAAGC